CGGGGGGAGCAAGCGUUGUUCGGAUUUACUGGGCGUAAAGGGCGCGUAGGCGGCCACCGCAAGUCAGUUGUGAAAUCUCUGGGCUUAACCCAGAAAGGUCAACUGAUACUGCGGGGCUAGAGUGCAGAAGGGGCAACUGGAAUUCUCGGUGUAGCGGUGAAAUGCGUAGAUAUCGAGAGGAACACCUGCGGCGAAGGCGGGUUGCUGGGCUGACACUGACGCUGAGGCGCGAAAGCUAGGGGAGCGAACGGGAUUAGAUACCCCGGUAGUCCUAGCCUUAAACGAUGAAUGCUUGGUGUCUGGGGUUAUAUAGUCCCCGGGUGCCGUCGCUAACGUUUUAAGCAUUCCGCCUGGGGAGUACGGUCGCAAGACUG
Molecule: ribosomal RNA, 374 nt
Filed under: uncultured organism
Description: bacterial SSU rRNA
Rfam family: Bacterial small subunit ribosomal RNA
Source: RNAcentral